This 569-nucleotide long non-coding RNA is filed under the name Homo sapiens (human). RNAcentral describes it as "non-protein coding lnc-SH3YL1-1:1". Lineage: Eukaryota; Metazoa; Chordata; Mammalia; Primates; Hominidae. The record is from RNAcentral.
AACCAUCCUUAACCAAACUACUGUUUAAUAAACUUAUUGAUUUCAUCAUUCAGCCUUCAAUGAGUCUUAAAAAUCAAAUGAUGCCCACUACCAAUGUGAAACAAGUCUAAAUUGCUUUAACAGAAAAAGAUGUUGCUGGUCCAUUUGACGAAGAAGUCCAGAGCGGCUUGUGACUUCAGUCUGGCUUUGCAGAGCCCAGGUGCUCUCUCCACCUUCUGCCAGGUUCCCCUAUGAAGGCUUUGCUCUCAGACUCUCCCCUUGUGGAGACAAAAAUCCCACAGCAAGUGGAAACAGAAGUGCCUUGGAAAAAGUUAUUCUGGCAGCUCCUAUACAAGUCCCCCAUCAGAUGCUGGUAUUGGACCAGCUUUGGUUAUAAAGCCCUGCUGUGGCACCAAAAGGAAUGUCGUCCUGAUACAGCAGCCUCGGGUCACCCAAUCCACUCCAGAUACUAUGGCUGCAGCAUCAAUGUAAGCAGACAAGUUGUGCUGCCUCUGAAAUAAAGUAGAUGAAAUAUUCAGCAGCAGAAAGAACAAGUUUCCACUCCAGUGAACUAAUUCAAAUGUAUCCAG